CCUACGGGGGGCUGCAGUGAGGAAUAUUGGUCAAUGGGCUUACGCCUGAACCAGCCAAGUCGCGUGAGGGAAGACUGCCCUAUGGGUUGUAAACCUCUUUUGUCAGGGAGCAAUUGGCGCUACGUGUAGCGUUAUCGAGAGUACCUGAAGAAAAAGCAUCGGCUAACUCCGGGCCAGCAGCCGCGGUAAUACGGAGGAUGCGAGCGUUAUCCGGAUUGAUUGGGGUUAAAGGGUGCGUAGGCGGAAUGCCAAGUCAGCGGUAAAAUCGCGGGGCUCAACCUCGCUCCGCCGUUGAAACUGGCGUUCUUGAGUGGGCGAGAAGUAUGCGGAAUGCGUGGUGUAGCGGUGAAAUGCAUAGAUAUCACGCAGAACUCCGAUUGCGAAGGCAGCAUACCGGCGCCCAACUGACGCUGAAGCACGAAAGCGUGGGUAUCGAACAGGAUUAGAUACCCGGGUAGUC
This 460-nucleotide ribosomal RNA is filed under the name uncultured bacterium. RNAcentral's name for it is "partial 16S ribosomal RNA". It matches the Rfam family "Bacterial small subunit ribosomal RNA", at positions 338 to 795 of the family's 1533-position model. The record is from RNAcentral.